This 508-nucleotide long non-coding RNA is filed under the name Ananas comosus (pineapple). RNAcentral's name for it is "long non-coding RNA (ACOM_LNC025992)". Lineage: Eukaryota; Viridiplantae; Streptophyta; Magnoliopsida; Poales; Bromeliaceae. The record is from RNAcentral.
GACUGAUUGUCCAUGAUCCGAUAGCCUUCGCGGAAAUCGAGGAGUUGAUUCCGGCGCGUUUUUCGGCGAAAUUAGCUGAAAGAACACGGUUUCGGUUCGGAUUUCUUCCGACAUGGUUUGGUUAUCCUGUAAAUUAUUACUGAGCCUUGUUGGCUGGUUACCAUCAUCAUUUUGUGGGUUCGGUGAUGAUGGGUGAGCGAUUGUGGGUUCCGGUGUCGAAAUAGACACUUUUGGGAACCCGAAUUCGUACAAUUAUCCGGCGAUAAUUGUGUAGUGGUGUUAUCUUGUGUUUGCUGCCAAAACAUCCAAAUUGGAGUGUUUUGGGGCAGCAGGUGACUCGUGGCACGAGUCGGUGAGUUUCGGGACGCUUAGUGGGUCCCGACGGCGUCCCGGUGUGGUUUUCAGGACUUCCGGCGCGUUACGGUAAUCGGUAUUGGGAAACCGAUCUUCGUGAAAUUGUUUGUGGGGUUGUGGAUACUGUGGUUAUUAGUUGGGGGUUAUAUACUAA